Molecule: ribosomal RNA, 301 nt
Filed under: uncultured bacterium
Lineage: Bacteria
Description: partial 16S ribosomal RNA
Rfam family: Bacterial small subunit ribosomal RNA
Source: RNAcentral
CAGUAGCCACGGUAAUACAGAGGGUGCGAGCUUUAAUCGGAUUUACUGGGCGUAAAGCGUGCGUAGGCGGCUUCUUAAGUCGGAUGUGAAAUCCCUGAGCUUAACUUAGGAAUUGCAUUCGAUACUGGGAAGCUAGAGUAUGGGAGAGGAUGGUAGAAUUCCAGGUGUAGCGGUGAAAUGCGUAGAGAUCUGGAGGAAUACCGAUGGCGAAGGCAGCCAUCUGGCCUAAUACUGACGCUGAGGUACGAAAGCAUGGGGAGCAAACAGGAUUAGAUACCCCGGUAGUCCCUGUCUCUUAUAC